GCGUUGCAUGAAUCUUCCAUACAUUGACUUUUAUCCCUUUUUAAUGCACAGUUUUGCUGCAGAACUACUAGAUGAUAGUUUACUACGUUGUUUACAUGUGAUGCGUUCAGCAGCUGAGCCUCUCUGCAGGGAAAGAGUCACUCUGCAGGAAACACCCCGGAAGUCUCAUCGUGCAGAGAAGCAGCAUGGCACCGGUGUGGAAUAACUUGUUGACGUGUUCCCUUCUCUACAAACAACCUGCGCAUUCUGCUAUCCCGUCAACAUUGAUGAGUGCAGAGUUUCUGGAACACAUCUGAGGACGGCCGGGUUUCUUCACUUCUUCUCUUCUUCCUCCACUCGUGCAAAGGAUUUCUCCCAGACGUACACCUCGAUGAUCCUGAUCCCAGACCCCACCGCGGAUCCUGUCGUCAGUGAGAACAGAAGAAAAAGGAAAUGUAAGUUUAAUGAACACUGCAGAAAUUGUUUAUUAAAAAACAAUGGGGACAACUUCUAUGUGAAAGCUACAUUGGAUCCUAUUUUGAACAUUACUGGUUACAAGGUUACAAGGUUCUUCCACUUACAGCUACUUAAAGUAAAGUUAUGUCACGUCUGAUGAUUGGGACUUCAGUGCAGUGAGAAACCAGGUUAUUUUAUAUUAUUUAUUACUUGACCAUAUGUAUUGUUGAGGAAAUAUUUUCCUAGGCCCAUAACUUUGACCCAGUUUAUCAGUUUGGACUGCCCUCACUGGAGCACUGAACUUAGAAAAGAGUCUUCCAAACAUCAUCAUCACUUGAUCAUGAGCACCACAAUGCCUGCCAAGCAUGACGGACCGAUCUCCGCCCACAGCAGCCCCCCCCACAGGAAGUGCAGGAAGACGGACACCUGGAAAGAGAAUGUACCAAAACAAUAUUUGCACCGGGGCCAAUCACAACCUUGUUACGCCACUGAUUGUAGGCUGGCCUAUCAAAGUACACUGACUUCAAUUGUAUAUUUAAUAGAGAUACUCUAGGUAUACCUCUUUCACUGUUAAUAUGU
Molecule: long non-coding RNA, 1014 nt
Organism: Trematomus bernacchii (emerald rockcod)
Lineage: Eukaryota; Metazoa; Chordata; Actinopteri; Perciformes; Nototheniidae
Exons: 3
Source: RefSeq, a predicted model, not a curated record